Molecule: non-coding RNA, 136 nt
Filed under: unclassified sequences
Description: IS605-orfB-II RNA
Rfam family: IS605-orfB-II RNA
Source: Rfam by way of RNAcentral
CAUGAUGAGCUGUCAUAGCUUGGAUUGUAUAGCAGGUAGUCGCAGUCGCCUACAUUAAAUAGUUUUUUAAUGAAAAAAGACUCAUUUUAAAUGAAUCUUUUUAAACGUUAGAAUUGUUAUGAUUUUAACGAACUGU